AUGAACUUUGUGCGUGUUUAUGGCUUCCUCAUGGGCUUUGAUGCAUUCCAUGUAGAGAAAGUGAUGGAGCUUGCAAAAGAUGGGCACACUAUGAUGUGCUCAAUACACCAGCCGAGAGAUCUCAUCAUUGAGCAUAUGCUUGGCAACCGGCACAGUGGUUCCUUGCAUCUCUCUCAUCAAGUUAUCAGCAACAUUUUACUGCCUUUCACUCCAAAGGACAUUGAAAACCAUACAAAAUAUAAUUUGUACAUCGCCAAUUUUGGCUCUAGUAGCCUUUCUUCUGCGCUACUGGGCUGUCACCAAGAGCAGCUUGUGAUCUCGGAUUCUGGUGACAAAGGCAAACAAGCCUUGUUCCAGGAGCCAAGCCGGCACCCAACACCACCAGCAAGACAGAAGUGCUCAUGGGAGAAACCGCAAAGGGGCUUGCUAAAAAAACUCAAGCUGGAUGGAGGCUUCGUGCAGGAUAAUGUUGGGGCCAUGCUCAUUUGUCUUCGUUCCCAUUUCGAGCGGCGAGUGGUUGAAGGCAGAGAGCCAUGGCGGCUGGAGAUCUCACUCACUGAUCUCUCGAGGUCGAGCCGGUGCUUGGGUGUCUGGUGUCCCCCCUGGCCCCGCCCGGCUUGCUUGUCCUCAAGCGCUCGCAGAGGAAGAGGCGAUCCCUGUGGUGAUCCGGCUGCGCUGUCGUCUCUGCUUCGCUUGAUUUCGCGGCGCUCCUCCCCAUUCCCAUGUGUUAGUCUGCGAGCCCUGUGUCCCCCUCCUCAUCCACCAUCCAUCAUGUGGUUGAUUUUUUUUUGCUGUGGAUCCCUCCUGUUCGGUUGUAUACAUGGGCGGAGCUACACUUUGGCAAUGGGGUCAAAUGACCCCAAUGGAUUUAUGUCAAACUAUUUGUGGUUUGUGUGGACUUUUAACUAUACUGGGCAUUUCAUUUUAUGUUUUCAGAAACUCUCGAGUAGUUUCUCUGUUUAUGUCUCCCUAGACUACUUUGGUCCUAGUAUUCUUCCUGGUUCUAGUGUUCUUUUUGUGACCCAUAAGUACAGUUCCAGAGUUCAAUUUUUUGGUCCCUGCAGCAAACAUGAAUCCAUGAUCUCCUUCAAGCUGGUGUCCCAGAUCAUGGAGGAAUUGCCAUCACGGUGGUGCUUCUCCCUGUUUCUCCUUGCUGUUCUCCCACCUCCAUGUUUUUCCUCUAUUUGGCCUUUGUCGAUGAUCAUGAGAGGAAGAAUGCUUACGAAGAAGAUCUUCUCCUUGGCACAUGUCCUGGAGCUUGGUAACAUCCGACGCCGCUGCAUUCACCCCAAAGGAGCUGGCGCCGCUGCUAGUGUGGUUGUGAAAAAUCCCGAUGCUUCUCCUGUGGGCACCACCCUCUGCCUGCUCGGCCCGCCGCCUCUCUGUUUCCCCCACAACGAGAGCCACGUCCCUGUCCUGCAAGGAGGCGACAUUACCUCACCGCUCGGAGCAACCCGUAGAUGGAGAACUGCCUCGCAUCGUCUCGGUGGAUGGUGUCAACCCAGGAUGCAGGGGCAUGGCGGUAUGGCGGGGACGACGUACAUACCUUGGUGGCAAGCUGGCCGGCUUCUUCCCUGGCUGACACACUCUCAGCGAGCAGCCUCCUCCUCAUUCGUCUGCCCUCCUCCACGGCUACACCUGCCCCACAAGGUUGCACUCGUAUACCACCCGGCCAUCGGCUGCACGAUCUGGGCGGCGAGCAGAUUGUACAAGUGCGGCGUACAGGAGCUGCACGACGGCGACCGAGAUGAGCGUCAAACGGCGAUGGAGAAGGGUAGGCCCUCGUGGCAGAUCCGUGUGUUGGCGGGGGGCGCGGGCUGGCAGCGGCAGCGAUUUUUAUCAAUACAGAUUAGGCCAUCCCUGGCGCUUACGGAUGUCGUUGUUGUCGCUGAUGGCCACAUGCAGAACAUCACUUGUUUGAACAGGAAUGAGAAGCCAUCAAAAACAGGAUUCAGAAAGCCAUCAAUACCACGCACCAAUACCAAGCUACCGCCGGCGAGCCCCCGGUGCGCUCGUCGUCGCCGCUUGAGAGAGUGUGGGGAGAACGCGAGAGAGAAACAAGGUCCCAUCAUCGUGCGUACUCUUUUGAAUUUCGGUUCGAGCGGUUCGUCCUCUCUCCUCCUCUCGAGCCCUAACCUCGGGCACCCUCGAUCGCCGCCGAUCGCCUCCGGCGCCCUCGAUCGCCCCCGGUGCCCUCGAUCGCCGCCGAUCGCAUUCGCCGUGUCUACCCCUCCUGCUCCUACUCCCCCUCACUCCCUCCAUCGCAAGUCACCCCAGUCGGGUCGCGGCGCCAGAUCUUCCGACAAGCCGCUAAUCCACUCCUUCCCCGAGCGGACGCCACCUUCCCCGACCCGAGAGGCCAGAUCAUCCUCAUCGACGUGCAUCAACUUUUUCACACCGGAUCUUCGCUGUAAGUGCCUAGCCAUCUCAAAUCUUUUCUGGUCCCUUCUGCAUAUAGAACCAAUAGGGAAAGUUGUGAUGAGAUUACGAUUGAAAGGAAGUCAUAAUGACAUGGAUGAUAAAGGCAACGAUGGCAAAAACUUGGGUGAUACAGGCAAGGACGACAAGGACAUGGGUCAUAGAGGCAAUAAAGGCAAAGGCAUGGACCCCAAAGAAUUGGAUGGUAUGUGCAUGGAUGAUAAUGAUAAUGAGGAUGCAGGCAAGGAUGUCAUAGACAUGGAUGAUGUACACAUACAAGAGAUUGUGAAGAAGACGUUCAGAACUGAGGAAGAAGCCUACAUGUUCUACGUAGGCUAUGCGAGAAAAAAAGGAUUUGAUGUUAGAAAGGAUGAUCUGAAGUACAAAGGUCCAGGUCCGAAACAAAAUGCAUACAGAAGGACAUAUAAGUGUUGCAAACAAGGAUGGCGGGCCCUUAAGCACUUUAACAGAACUGAAAGAAAAAGAACACCGAGGGGUCUUUCUCGGUGUGGGUGUCCCGCUCUUUUUCAGGUUGAGCUACAAGAUAGCAGUGGCCUCUGGUUCGUCAAGAAUUUUGUGGACAAGCAUAACCAUCUGUUUGUCCCUGCUGACCUGACUCUGUACUUGUCGGCUCAUCGUAGAAUGACUGACACACAAAAGGCCGAUGUCAUCGAGUAUGCUGUCGAUGGACUUCGAACACAUCAGAUUAUGAAUGUAAAGCGUCAGAUUGUCGAAGGGAUAAAUUGGCAGGUCACGGACCAGGUAGCAUGUGAUGGUUUGGUCGUGUUUGGAGUUUUGCGCAAAGCCCCAUAUGAUAAAGCCCCAUAUGGCAGGGAUGCUAGAGAAUUGCAAGGUAAGGAAGGUAAGUAUGCUGAGGACUUGCAUGCAAAAAAAUUGGAUGCUGAGGAUCCCAAUGACUUGGAAGGUAAGGAUGCUGAGGACUUGCAUGCAAAAAACUUGGAUGCUGAGGAUCCCAAUGAUUUGGAAGGCAAGGAUGGUGUGGACUUGCAUGCCAAAAACCUGGAUGCUAAGGAUCCUAAUCACUUGGAAGGUAAGGACAGUGAGGAGUUGGAGGCAAAAAAGUUGGAUGCACAAGGCAUGGAUGCUAAGCCUGUGGAUUUUAUAUAUCACGUGACUUGUCUGUUUACAGGAGCAAGACUGGAUGAUGCAGCUUGUAAAUGUAAAAAGUUGGAAAGUCAUGAUUACCCAUGCGCACAUAUAUUCUGCGUUCUGGAUCAUCUUGGUGUACGCACAUUUCCAAAAAUUUUUGUCAAGAAAAGAUGGACAAUGCAGGCCAAGCCAGCGUUCCCUUCUUCGAGGACUGCGAAUACUCAUGUAUGGUCUGAUCACAUGAAUAAGUAUCAUCAACUACGCAACAUGUCUAGUGACGCUUUAUUCACAGCCACAACUAGCGAUUCACAGUCAGAACAGGUGAUGGAGUUCCUCCAGAGUAUAUUGGUUGAUGGAGAAAAAACUAAUUUGGAUGAAGGCCAUAAAUUGUUUGUUCCUUUGCCGGCAUACUUCUCUGCUGCUCGCGAAUGCUACACUGAUGAUGUGGAAAAUCCAAUCAAAAUAGUUCCAAAAGGGAGACCAACUACCGAAGAAUCGAACAAGAGGAUUAAAUCCAGGCGCGAGCGGAUGAGAGGGAAAAAAGCAACGAAUUUAGUGCACAUGAACAAAUCGGGGAAAUCAAAGGUCACAAGGAGGAAGAAGCGAAAAGACAAAGACUCAGAGACAGAAGAAGACACAGAUUCAGAUAUAGAAGAAGAAGAAGAUUCAAAAAAAGCAACAAAGAAAAAAUCAGGGAAAUUAAAUAGCACAAGGAGGAAGAAGCAAAAAGAAGAGACAACGUCAGAUACAAAAGAAGAGACAGAGGCAGAUACAGAAGAAGAGACAGAGGCAGAUAUAGAAGAAGAGGAAGAUUCAGGUACAGAAGAAGAGGAAGAUUCAGGUACAGAAGAAGAGGAAGAUUCAGAUGCAGAAGAAGAGGGAGAUUCAGAUGCAGAAGAAGAGAGAGAUUCAGAUGAGGAAGAAGAGGAAGAUUCAGAUGUAGAAGAUGGUGGGCUGAGGAGGGCUAGAAAGAGACCAUUGGAGGUUCCAGAAGAGGAUUACGCAAAACCAAACAAGAAACGCAAGGGCGCACCAAAUGUCAAUGCUGGGAGGACGAAAAAGAACGAUGACAAGGGUGCGCGAGGAAAACCAGUGAAGAAAGACUCUAGUAAGGGCGGUAAAGAACAGGACAAAGGGGUGAUGAAGACAAAAAGGCCUGAUAGGAAUGAAAGCUAA
This 4704-nucleotide ribosomal RNA is filed under the name Triticum aestivum (bread wheat). RNAcentral describes it as "partial small subunit ribosomal RNA". Lineage: Eukaryota; Viridiplantae; Streptophyta; Magnoliopsida; Poales; Poaceae. The record is from RNAcentral.